This 504-nucleotide ribosomal RNA is filed under the name uncultured bacterium. RNAcentral's name for it is "partial 16S ribosomal RNA". It matches the Rfam family "Bacterial small subunit ribosomal RNA", at positions 29 to 523 of the family's 1533-position model. The record is from RNAcentral.
UAUGAACGCUAGCGGCAGGCUUAAUACAUGCAAGUCGAGGGGCAGCAGCUUUAUAGCAAUAUAGAGGCUGGCGACCGGCAAACGGGUGCGGAACACGUACACAACCUUCCUUUAAGAGGGGGAUAGCCCAUAGAAAUGUGGAUUAAUACCCCGUAACAUAUCGGUGUGGCAUCACACUGUUAUUAUAGUUUCGACGCUUGAAGAUGGGUGUGCGGCUGAUUAGGUAGUUGGCGGGGUAAAGGCCCACCAAGCCUUCGCUCAGUAGCUGAUGUGAGGACCAGCGCCGCCACACGCGUACUUAGACGCGGGACCGAAGCCUAAGUGAGACACCAGUAAGGAAUAUUUGUCAAUGUGCGCAAGUCUGAACCAGACAUGCCUAGUGAAGGAUGACGUUCCCCUGGAUUGUAAACUUCUUUUAGAGGGGGCGAAAAAAGGGAAGUCUUUCUCACUUGACAGUACCCUAUGAAUAAGCACCGGCUAACUCCGUGCCAGCCGCCGCCGUAA